This 754-nucleotide ribosomal RNA is filed under the name Salmonella enterica subsp. enterica serovar Typhimurium. Its description in RNAcentral is "partial 23S ribosomal RNA". It matches the Rfam family "Bacterial large subunit ribosomal RNA", at positions 877 to 1547 of the family's 2925-position model. Lineage: Bacteria; Pseudomonadati; Pseudomonadota; Gammaproteobacteria; Enterobacterales; Enterobacteriaceae. The record is from RNAcentral.
GCGCCUCGUGAAUUCAUCUCCGGGGGUAGAGCACUGUUUCGGCUAGGGGGCCAUCCCGGCUUACCAACCCGAUGCAAACUGCGAAUACCGGAGAAUGUUAUCACGGGAGACACACGGCGGGUGCUAACGUCCGUCGUGAAGAGGGAAACAACCCAGACCGCCAGCUAAGGUCCCAAAGUCAUGGUUAAGUGGGAAACGAUGUGGGAAGGCCCAGACAGCCAGGAUGUUGGCUUAGAAGCAGCCAUCAUUUAAAGAAAGCGUAAUAGCUCACUGGUCGAGUCGGCCUGCGCGGAAGAUGUAACGGGGCUAAACCAUGCACCGAAGCUGCGGCAGCGAACGUAUCACCCAAGACAACUUUACGGAGUUGACGAUUGACGGAGCGAAGCGACGUCAAAGCGUUCAUUAAAGUCGAGUUGGCUUAGGGAUACGUUCGUUGGGUAGGGGAGCGUUCUGUAAGCCUGUGAAGGUGUGUCGUGAGGCAUGCUGGAGGUAUCAGAAGUGCGAAUGCUGACAUAAGUAACGAUAAAGCGGGUGAAAAGCCCGCUCGCCGGAAGACCAAGGGUUCCUGUCCAACGUUAAUCGGGGCAGGGUGAGUCGACCCCUAAGGCGAGGCCGAAAGGCGUAGUCGAUGGGAAACGGGUUAAUAUUCCCGUACUUGGUGUUACUGCGAAGGGGGGACGGAGAAGGCUAUGUUGGCCGGGCGACGGUUGUCCCGGUUUAAGCGUGUAGGUGUGUGUUCCAGGUAAAUCCGGUU